Molecule: transfer RNA, 85 nt
Organism: Danaus plexippus plexippus
Lineage: Eukaryota; Metazoa; Arthropoda; Insecta; Lepidoptera; Nymphalidae
Rfam family: tRNA
About the family: Transfer RNA (tRNA) molecules are approximately 80 nucleotides in length. Their secondary structure includes four short double-helical elements and three loops (D, anti-codon, and T loops). Further hydrogen bonds mediate the characteristic L-shaped molecular structure. tRNAs have two regions of fundamental functional importance: the anti-codon, which is responsible for specific mRNA codon recognition, and the 3' end, to which the tRNAs corresponding amino acid is attached (by aminoacyl-tRNA synthetases). tRNAs cope with the degeneracy of the genetic code in two manners: having more than one tRNA (with a specific anti-codon) for a particular amino acid; and 'wobble' base-pairing, i.e. permitting non-standard base-pairing at the 3rd anti-codon position.
Source: Rfam
GACUCGCUAGCUCAGUAGGUUAGAGCGCCGAUAUACAGAUUUACUUGACCAUCGGAGGGCGGAGGUUCAAAUCCUUCACGAGUCA